RNAcentral lists this ribosomal RNA (497 nucleotides) under uncultured bacterium. Its description in RNAcentral is "partial 16S ribosomal RNA". It matches the Rfam family "Bacterial small subunit ribosomal RNA", at positions 28 to 507 of the family's 1533-position model. The record is from RNAcentral.
GAUGAACGCUUGCGGCGUGCCUAAUACAUGCCAGUCGAGCGAACGGACGAGAAGCUUGCUUCUCUGAUGUUAGCGGCGGACGGGUGAGUAACACGUGGAUAACCUACCUAUAAGACUGGGAUAACUUCGGGAAACCGUAGCUAAUACCGGAUAAUAUUUUGAACCGCAUGGUUCAAAAGUGAAAGACGGUCUUGCUGUCACUUAUAGAUGGAUCCGCGCUGCAUUAGCUAGUUGGUAAGGUAACGGCUUACCAAGGCAACGAUGCAUAGCCGACCUGAGAGGGUGAUCGGCCACACUGGAACUGAGACACGGUCCAGACUCCUACGGGAGGCAGCAGUAGGGAAUCUUCCGCAAUGGGCGAAAGCCUGACGGAGCAACGCCGCGUGAGUGAUGAAGGUCUUCGGAUCGUAAAACUCUGUUAUUAGGGAAGAACAUAUGUGUAAGUAACUGUGCACAUCUUGACGGUACCUAAUCAGAAAGCCACGGCUAACUACGUG